This is a regulatory RNA element of Clostridium sp. CAG:230, 100 nucleotides long. It matches the Rfam family "TPP riboswitch aptamer (THI element)". Rfam says of the family: Vitamin B(1) in its active form thiamin pyrophosphate (TPP) is an essential coenzyme that is synthesised by coupling of pyrimidine and thiazole moieties in bacteria. The previously detected thiamin-regulatory element, thi box was extended, resulting in a new, highly conserved RNA secondary structure, the THI element, which is widely distributed in eubacteria and also occurs in some archaea. The record is from Rfam. Lineage: Bacteria; Bacillati; Bacillota; Clostridia; Eubacteriales; Clostridiaceae.
AAGAUUUAUCUGGGGAGCUGGUAUGGCUGAGAGGGAUUGUGAUCCGACCCAAAACCUGAUACGGGUAAUGCCGUCGUAGGGAGUAUAAUGCAGACUAAGA